RNAcentral lists this unclassified non-coding RNA (348 nucleotides) under soil metagenome. RNAcentral's name for it is "partial contains 5.8S ribosomal RNA, internal transcribed spacer 2, and large subunit ribosomal RNA". The stretch from base 1 to 120 matches the Rfam family "5.8S ribosomal RNA", at positions 35 to 154 of the family's 154-position model. The record is from RNAcentral.
GAUGAAGAACUCAGCGAAAUGCGAUAAGUAAUGUGAAUUGCAGAAUUCAGUGAAUCAUCGAAUCUUUGAACGCACAUUGCGCCCGCUAGUAUUCUGGCGGGCAUGCCUGUCUGAGCGUCAUUUCAACCCUCGAGUCCCUUUGGACUCGGCGUUGGGGAUCGGCCGUCCUUCGCGGCGGCCGGCCCCGAAAUAUAGUGGCGGUCUCGCUGUAGCCUUCUCUGCGUAGUAGUAAAACCCUCGCAGGCGAAGAGCGGCUUGACCACGCCGUAAAACCCCCAACUUUACCAAGGUUGACCUCAGAUCAGGUAGGAAUACCCGCUGAACUUAAGCAUAUCAAUAAGCGGAGGA